CCAAAGUCAGCCAAGAGGAGGUUUACCUGCUUCUGUGCAUUAGAGUUGGUUGGUAAUUUUGGAGCCUCUAGCAAGUACAUCACUUGGGUAUUUGGCUGCCAUUCAGCCCCUAAGCUACUCAUGGGUCAACUCACUAGUCAUCCAGGCAGGAUUAAUGGGUGUAUUAAUGGCUGCUGAGUGGUGACAGUUUUAGUCCUUGGUGGCUGAUUAAAGUUGCUUUAGAGUCUUUGUCCCUAGGUCUGAUGUUCAGUGGUUCAUUUCCCAUUUAAGAGUGUGGCUUGCGUAUACCGGGAAUUUCAUAUCCAACUCAGAAUUUGAAACAAGAUAUACAAGCCCUUUCAUGGUGCCUGACUUUUGUAUGGUUCUUUUCCUAGAUCUAUAAAGAAGUUCUAAGCAUGAGGCUGUCAGUAGGAGUGAAAAGCAGGUGCUCUGACUUUUGACCUUGCUACUGACAGAUGCUGCAGCUCACACCCAGCUCCGGCCAUCCUCCGUGGAACUCAGGUCACCUCUGGAAGUAAGAACUGUGGUCUCCGAGUCCUCUCUGCCCACAUCUUCUGCCCCUGGAUGGCGCCCCCUGGAAUCUGGCCAGACUUGUCUCCUGGGUAAGUGCCCAUGUGACCGUCCACACCGCCACACAUACCGUCCAUGGACACUGUUCUCCUGGCAAGGCCAGCAUGCUCUGCAGCGUGUGUCAGCUGCUUGGCGAAAUGACCUAUUGUCAUUGUCACGGUUGCUAUUCAGAUUAUAUUCGAGUUCACUUUGCCUUUCUGAAAAGUGAAGAUAAUAUUCCCUGACUUCCCUCCUCCCAGGGUUGCUUCAGGAGACAAACUGGUUAAUGUGUCACUCAAAUACAUGCUUAGGGCCCAACCAUCAAAGGUGGUCGAUUCAGGACGUAGGAGGGAACAUGCCGCAUCCCUCUGUGGAGUCAGGCUGGCUGGUUUGAUCCUGAUGCAAUCGCCAAGCAGUGAGCUGAUCUGGGUGACGUUAUGUAACUUUCCUGUGCGUGUCCAUCUGUAAAUGGAAGCAGCAGACGCCCCUGAAGUUCAGGGCUGUAGUGAGGAUGAUCUAAGAUGAGGCAUAGAGCUCUGCGUGUGGAUGCCUUGGCUAUAGGAAGCUUUCAGUGGAGGCUCUUAUUUGUAACAUGAAGGGAGACACCUGGUUUUAUUAUAAAACUCCACUGGAAGAAGGUAUCGUCUCUGUUUCUGGAACUCUUUGCUCAAUGAAGGGGAUCGAGUGUCUGGACAGGAUGCAGGGUCCAUUCAUUCAGGUCAGAAUUCUACAAAUGAUGGGGAAUCAUGAAACCGCCUAAGUAGGGGAGAGGUUUCUUAAGAAGAUAAGUCGGGUUCCUGUGCAUGGAGACUGUUCCAUGGAGACCAUGUACUGAGGAGGCAGACAGGUAGGAGCUGCAAUGGUACAAGAGCGGAGAAGCGGCUGGUUCUAGCA
This 1443-nucleotide long non-coding RNA is filed under the name Capra hircus (goat). Its description in RNAcentral is "lncRNA (ENSCHIG00010026222.1)". Lineage: Eukaryota; Metazoa; Chordata; Mammalia; Artiodactyla; Bovidae. The record is from RNAcentral.